Molecule: ribosomal RNA, 235 nt
Filed under: uncultured bacterium
Lineage: Bacteria
Description: partial 16S ribosomal RNA
Rfam family: Bacterial small subunit ribosomal RNA
Source: RNAcentral
UGAGUAACCUGCCCAUGACUCUGGGAUAAGCCUGGGAAACCGGGUCUAAUACCGGAUAUGACUGCCGGCCGCAUGGCCUGGUGGUGGAAAGCUUUAUUGCGGUUUUGGAUGGACUCGCGGCCUAUCAGCUUGUUGGCGGGGUAAUGGCCCACCAAGGCGACGACGGGUAGCCGGCCUGAGAGGGUGACCGGCCACACUGGGACUGAGACACGGCCCAGACUCCUACGGGAGGCAG